RNAcentral lists this ribosomal RNA (439 nucleotides) under uncultured bacterium. Its description in RNAcentral is "bacterial SSU rRNA". It matches the Rfam family "Bacterial small subunit ribosomal RNA", at positions 340 to 773 of the family's 1533-position model. The record is from RNAcentral.
UACGGAAGGCAGCAGUGGGGAAUAUUGCACAAUGGGCGCAAGCCUGAUGCAGCCAUGCCGCGUGUAUGAAAAAGGCCUUCGGGUUGUAAAGUACUUUCAGUCGUGAGGAAGGUGUUAAGGUUAAUAACCUUAGCAAUUGAUGUUAGCGACAGAAGAAGCACCGGCUAACUCCGUGCCAGCAGCCGCGGUAAUACGGAGGGUGCGAGCGUUAAUCGGAAUUACUGGGCGUAAAGGGCACGCAGGCGGUUAAUUAAGUUGGAUGUGAAAUCCCCGGGCUUAACCUGGGAAUGGCAUUCAAGACUGGUUAGCUAGAGUCUUGUAGAGGGGGUAGAAUUCCAUGUGUAGCGGUGAAAUGCGUAGAGAUGUGGAGGAAUACCGGUGGCGAAGGCGGCCCCUGGACAAAGACUGACGCUCAUGUGCGAAAGCGUGGGGAGCAAAC